Molecule: ribosomal RNA, 450 nt
Filed under: uncultured bacterium
Lineage: Bacteria
Description: bacterial SSU rRNA
Rfam family: Bacterial small subunit ribosomal RNA
Source: RNAcentral
GUGGGGAAUUUUGGACAAUGGGCGCAAGCCUGAUCCAGCAAUGCCGCGUGCAGGAAGAAGGCCUUCGGGUUGUAAACUGCUUUUGUACGGAACGAAACGGUCCGGGUUAAUACCCUGGGCUAAUGACGGUACCGUAAGAAUAAGCACCGGCUAACUACGUGCCAGCAGCCGCGGUAAUACGUAGGGUGCAAGCGUUAAUCGGAAUUACUGGGCGUAAAGCGUGCGCAGGCGGUUUGGUAAGACAGGCGUGAAAUCCCCGGGCUCAACCUGGGAAUUGCGCUUGUGACUGCAAGGCUGGAGUGCGGCAGAGGGGGAUGGAAUUCCGCGUGUAGCAGUGAAAUGCGUAGAUAUGCGGAGGAACACCGAUGGCGAAGGCAAUCCCCUGGGCCUGCACUGACGCUCAUGCACGAAAGCGUGGGGAGCAAACAGGAUUAGAAACCCGUGUAGUCC